This 254-nucleotide ribosomal RNA is filed under the name uncultured bacterium. RNAcentral's name for it is "partial 16S ribosomal RNA". It matches the Rfam family "Bacterial small subunit ribosomal RNA", at positions 79 to 334 of the family's 1533-position model. The record is from RNAcentral.
CUUUCUUUGCUGGCGACCGGCGCACGGGUGAGUAACACGUAUCCAACCUGCCCUUUACUCGGGGAUAGCCUUUCGAAAGAAAGAUUAAUACCCGAUAGUAUAAUGAUUCCGCAUGGUUUCAUUAUUAAAGGAUUCCGGUAAAGGAUGGGGAUGCGUUCCAUUAGGUUGUUGGUGAGGUAACGGCUCACCAAGCCUUCGAUGGAUAGGGGUUCUGAGAGGAAGGUCCCCCACAUUGGAACUGAGACGCGGUCCAA